This 241-nucleotide long non-coding RNA is filed under the name Musa acuminata (dwarf banana). RNAcentral describes it as "long non-coding RNA (MACU_LNC009047)". Lineage: Eukaryota; Viridiplantae; Streptophyta; Magnoliopsida; Zingiberales; Musaceae. The record is from RNAcentral.
GCUCUUUGCUCAUACUUCUGAAGCACUUGAAGUGUUUGCACUCCUUGCGUUGAGUUAGUUACUGUGAUUCACCUUCUCAAUGCCAUCGAACUUCUGGAAUGCAGGAAGUUUUCACCCCCAACUUGGAGUAAUUCUCUCAUAGGUUUGGUCGCCUCUGGGAUUGUACCGUCUUCUCCAUCAACCCUGCCGCCUACUCCACUGAGUAGCAAAGGUACAGCACCAUGUACUGCCUGCUUCGUUC